Molecule: long non-coding RNA, 3108 nt
Organism: Pezoporus occidentalis (night parrot)
Lineage: Eukaryota; Metazoa; Chordata; Aves; Psittaciformes; Psittacidae
Exons: 3
Source: RefSeq, a predicted model, not a curated record
UGAGGAGCUCACUUUGGAGGCUGGCAGAGUGAAGAGCCUUUCCAGAGGAGGAGGUAGCUGUGGGAAGAGGAGCGGCUUGGGACCAGGGGUGGUAAUUGUAAGUUCUGUGGAAUAGAAAACAUUUUUCCUGUAUUUGCUCUCAAAAUGGAACUGCCGUCAGCUCAAAUAUUUUUGUGAUGCUUCUGUAAAUAAGGUUCACAGAGCACAAGAGCAUCUUGAAAGCAGAUGAUGUCAUGUGCAGGAGUCAUGGGCCUCCCGGGGUUUGAUUACAGAAUGCUGAAUAAUUGGGCAAGUCAAGCUGGAAUAGAGAACCCAAAUCUGAUAUAAAUCUUGAUAAAUUGGUAGGGGAAAGAUGUUUGGAGCUGCUGUUUUUAAGGUGCUGAGAGGUAGGAUAAACUUAGCUGGCACAAGCUAUUUUGAAAGUGGCAUUAGACUAUUAACACUUUGCAGAUAUGAUCUCUCCUCCUGCAAGAGGGAGCUUUAUCAAUGCAUCUUCCAUUGGGGAAGUAGGGAAAGGAGAUGUUGUUAGGCCUGCUGGUAAUCAGUGGUACUUAUCACCCAGUUAACAAGAGCUGUUGGAGGAAAUUGCUACCUGAAUUGUGCACAUGUAGUAAGAACAGGGAGAUCUAAAUGAAAUCCAUAACUUGGAUGAUUUGUGUCACCCACUAGGAUGCCUGGUGACACUGGGCUGCUCUUAUCCCUGUCACCAAUCUCCUUUUCUCAUCUUCACGGGUUAUUAGAGCAUUUUCAGUCCAGUUUGGGUCUCAGUCUUUGCUGCACAACAGUUCAUAGGAGAAAAACAGACCUUGCUGGACCUGCACAAGAUGCAGAAAACCUCCUGCAAGAACUGCUCCUCUGGAAGAUUUAACCCUUUUAAUCUCCAUUUGCCCUCCAACAACCUCCGAGUUGAGUGCUGAGCAUCUGGCUUUGGUGCAAGAAGCAUGGACAGGACCUGGGGACCAGGCAAACCCAGAAGCAUGUGGGAGAGGCUUUUCCAUAUUAGCUGGAUUAUUAAGGUGAGACAAAGUUCUAAUGCUACCCCAGGUCAUUGCAGGAUCUGACAAGGUGGUCUUCAGAGCAGGGGGCCAGCACACAGAGAACACAGGUCCUCUGCUGUCUCAUGGUGCUAGAGCCAGGCCUUUAGCAGUCAGCAUAGGUGCUGCUCAGGACUUUGAUACAUCUGUCUAUUGUGGGUGUGUGAUUCUGCCAGAAAGAGUCUGUAAAUGCAGAUUAAAGCUAUCUUGGUGCACAAGGGAGCUGGGCUUGCCUAGCUGUGAUGGUGUACACCCAUCUUGAUGGUGUCUAGACAUGAGCAGAGUCUUGUGUUAUUGCAAAGCUCCAGUUGCUGUAAAUAACAGUCUUGUGACUUCAAGUUUGUGUUGCACCUGGAUUUUUUCCGAUAGUCAUAAUAGAUAUUUUCCCUUUCCUUGUGUAUUGGAUAUAUCUCCUUUUCAGGUGGUAAUUUAUGCUGAUUGCAGCUCAUCAGUCUUGCAUCUUGCCUGCCACAGGGUUUCUUAUACUUUCUAAUUUACUGGAGGAAGAGUGUAUUGACAGUUCUCAAUGAAUUCCGCAGUACAGGAGGUGCAUGUGGUGCCGAAUCCUUGCAGAACAGUGAGUUCCAGAGAGUCAGACAAUGCCUAAUGGUUUUAUACUGAUGUAAAUGCUUCAUUAUAAUAAUCCAGCAAUGGCAAAAGUAGUAAAAGACUUAUGGUAGUCCUCUUGUUCAAAAUAAAAACACUAUCAAAAAUAAGCAACCUAUCUAUCAUCUUGCCAUAAGUUCUUUGAUGAUAGCACAAUCUGUCCUUUAGAUGACACUGAAGUUCCUCUUCCCCAGUGGUUUUCUAAUCAAAUUUUGCUUUCAGGAAUGAUCUAUAAACUCUAUCAGUAUUUAUGUAAAAAGAGGUUGAUGAUUCAAGAAGAAAUGAAAUAUUUAGGUAAGACUAAUCCUGAAAGCAUAGCUGCUUUAGCUGUAAUUAUUCAUCUUAUGACAUGGAAGUAUUUGGUUGGCUACAAACUUUUCCUUUGGAAAAAUCUAGUUCCAUUGGAGUUUAAAAUAUUAAAGGGAAAUAAAAAAGAACAAUUUUUAGAUAGGAACAAUCUGGAAAUAGAAGUUAAUGGCAUUUAAAACAAAGGUAAAAUGCCACAUGUCUGGCAUGGGAACAAAAAUAAAGCUGUGUUUUGAAAGUGGUCCCUGACCAUAUGUGCAUACUUAGUGCAGCUCUAUGGUUGCUGUCCAAGAUGUCCCUGUAGAGCAGUAAGACAGUGCAGUCACAUUGCCUUUCUCAGUCUGGGAGAGAUGCUCUGAUGGUCCUUUUCAUCCUGGGAUAGAUUAAAACUUUAAAGGCAAGAACUGCCUGUAGGGCAUCUUCGCAGCAAAGAAAGUACUGGUCUCUCUAAGGUGCCCUUUGGAACCUGGUGGGUCCCCUUCAUCCCAUGGGUGCUAAAUCCUCGUGUUCCUGUGUCAUUCUGGGCUAAGGCCACUGCGGAGCUCUUCUGCUCUAACAAGCAUCAGCAUGUGCCUUGCUCUGCCCAUGAUGCAGAGUUCUGUGGCUGGCAAGUUUUGCUUGUCUAUAGUAUUUCCAUACUGAAGCCUGAUCGCUAUUGUGGCAACCUUGAACUUUUGUGGUUUGUCAUCUUCCAGAUGAAAUGAUUCAGUCUGGCACAAGGCUGGUGAGGCACUGAGCUGAUUGUGAAUGUGUAGCUUGUAUCAAUAAGGGAAAUUAAAUAAUUCCUCAAAACCAUGCAACGUGUCAGUUCUGCCGCAGUUCAGUCAGCUCUUUGUUUUCUUGUUGGCUUUUUAUAGUUGAAAUUUCCUUAAAGUGCAUUGUGGAAAUCAUGCUCUGCUCAGUUUGGGGUGAACGGUGCACAGGCUGGGCUUGGGGCUUGAGUGGGGUGAGUGACUGGAAGGGAUCAGUAGUCCUUCAAGUGCAAGGUCCUGUGAAUCCUGCUGGGAAAUAGAUAUAAAGUAAAAAGGUUUUAGUGAGCAACUUAAUGUAUGAAAUUAAAACCUACCCAGGUCUCAGGCACACAGAUCCUUGAGAGCACAUUGAAUUCCUAUCUUGUGAAAACCCUGAACAGGGUUUCAAAGGAGUACACGGACAUGAGGCG